UCGAGCCGCUGGCGGCGUGCCUAAUACAUGCAAGUCGAGCGGACAGAUGGGAGCUUGCUCCCUGAUGUUAGCGGCGGACGGGUGAGUAACACGUGGGUAACCUGCCUGUAAGACUGGGAUAACUCCGGGAAACCGGGGCUAAUACCGGAUGGUUGUCUGAACCGCAUGGUUCAGACAUAAAAGGUGGCUUCGGCUACCACUUACAGAUGGACCCGCGGCGCAUUAGCUAGUUGGUGAGGUAACGGCUCACCAAGGCGACGAUGCGUAGCCGACCUGAGAGGGUGAUCGGCCACACUGGGACUGAGACACGGCCCAGACUCCUACGGGAGGCAGCAGUAGGGAAUCUUCCGCAAUGGACGAAAGUCUGACGGAGCAACGCCGCGUGAGUGAUGAAGGUUUUCGGAUCGUAAAGCUCUGUUGUUAGGGAAGAACAAGUGCCGUUCAAAUAGGGCGGCACCUUGACGGUACCUAACCAGAAAGCCACGGCUAACUACGUGCCAGCAGCCGCGGUAAU
This 514-nucleotide ribosomal RNA is filed under the name Bacillus amyloliquefaciens. Its description in RNAcentral is "bacterial SSU rRNA". It matches the Rfam family "Bacterial small subunit ribosomal RNA", at positions 34 to 524 of the family's 1533-position model. The record is from RNAcentral. Lineage: Bacteria; Bacillati; Bacillota; Bacilli; Caryophanales; Bacillaceae.